CUGGACUCUACCCUCGCCAGGGCUUUCCUCCCAGAGGCUCGCUUUCAAACGCUUGCAGCCGCCAUACGCAGCCUCCAAGCUUUCCCAACUUCGACAGCCCGCUGCUGCCUCAGCCUCAUGGGCCAUAUGGCAUCAUGCACCUUCGUGACAGCCCACGCCAGGUUACGCCUGCGGCCCCUCCAAGCAUGGCUGGCCUCCGCAUACCGACCACACAGGGACAACCUCGAUAUGAUUCUGACGGUCCCAUCGCAAGUCCUAGCCUCCCUCAACUGGUGGCUGGACCCCGCACAUGUGAUGUCAGGUAUUCCCUUUCAUCCACCUCAGCCUUCCCGCACCGUGACUACGGAUGCCUCAUCCCUCGGCUGGGGGGCUCACCUGCUGAACUUCCAAACGCAGGGCCUGUGGUCGGAGCAAGAGCUGACGCUACACAUCAAUGUCAGAGAACUUCGAGCGGUACGACUCGCCUGCCAAGCCUUUGCUCAGCAUCUACAGGGCCGCUGUGUCUCCAUCCUUACAGACAACACGACGGCCAUGCAUUACAUCAACAGACAGGGAGGAGCGCACUCCCUUCCUCUCUGCCGAGAGGCAACUCAGCUCUGGGACUUUUGCAUAGCCCGUUCCAUUCACCCCGUGGCCUCGUUUCUCCCAGGAGCCCAGAACACCUUGGCGGACCGCCUGAGCAGGUCCUUCCAGGCGCACGAGUGGUCCAUUCGGCCAGACGUCAUCCACUCUGUCUUCCAGAAGUGGGGGUUUCCCCAGAUAGAUCUCUUCGCGACUCGCGAGAACAGGAAAUGCCAAGUGUUCUGCUCCUUUCAGGGUCGCUCCCCAGGCUCCCUGACAGACGCUUUUCUCCAUCCUUGGACAGACAACCUGGCCUAUGCCUUCCCACCAGUUCCACUGGUCCACAGGGUCCUGCUCAAGCUACGCAGGGACAAGGCCAGGGUGAUCCUGAUUGCUCCAGCGUGGCCCAGGCAACACUGGUAUACCACGCUCCUGGAGAUGUCCGUGACAGACCCGAUCCCUCUACCGAGAUGGCCGGACCUGAUCACGCAGCAGCACGGCAGGAUCCAGCAUCCCGACCUGCGGUCCCUUCACCUCACGGCGUGGAUGCUGCAUGGCUGAACCCGUCGGAGCUGCGAUGUUCCAGCCCGGUCCAGCACGUUCUGCUGAGCAGUAGGAAACCCUCCACCAGGUCCACCUACACAGCUAAGUGGAAACGUUUUUCC
RNAcentral lists this long non-coding RNA (1226 nucleotides) under Chelydra serpentina (North American snapping turtle). RNAcentral describes it as "lncRNA (ENSCSRG00000020158.1)". Lineage: Eukaryota; Metazoa; Chordata; Testudines; Chelydridae. The record is from RNAcentral.